This is a long non-coding RNA of Brienomyrus brachyistius, 701 nucleotides long. RefSeq lists it as uncharacterized. NCBI's taxonomy places the organism in Eukaryota, Metazoa, Chordata, Actinopteri, Osteoglossiformes, Mormyridae. The transcript has 2 exons. The record is from RefSeq and is a predicted model, not a curated record.
GUGGAGCUGGAGGGUGCGAUCUGGUUGGGGCAUGGUAAUUUCAUUAACCUGGCUGCAACAAUUAAGCAAUCAGCACGCGUAUAUAGGACCCGGUUGUGGUUGCGUGUGUGACUGAUUUGCAAGCGUGACGUGACUCUCCGUGCGCUAGUAUCUCCUUUUCCGGAAGUUGUGGCUAUAUCCAACGCUGCAGUGGAUCGCGACUUGGAGUGUCCCGGACCGACGUGAGCCAGACCAUCAACGGGAUACUAAGUCACUACAAGUGCUGCUGUUUUGCCCGGAUGUUUUAUGUUUUGUUUCAUGUUUUAAUGGGUUUUAAGUAUUAAUGUUUUAUUGAUUGGAUGUACAUUGGGGGGGUGUCGUUGGGAAGGCUUGGUGCUGGGCGGUGAGGAUCCGUGUCGGGCGAUACCGCGCUGCGUGGUCGCGUUGCUUUCUUGUAGCCCACCCCUUGGGUGGAUGUACGUGCGUCAUGUACUGCGGGACCCCUUAGAGUGUUGUCUGACUGUAUGCCUCCCAUUCCCCUCCCGAUAACAGCUGCUUGGUUUGUGUUUUCUCUUGUGUUGUGUGAUUGGAGUGUUUUAAACAUGAUUUGAUGUGUAUUAUUUGUGCUGUGAUUUUGGUUUUGUAAUUUGCUGUUUGGUUUCUUUGUGUUUUUAUUUUGAGUGUGAAUAGCCAGCAGCCUAAUAAAGGGAGUGUUUAUGGUC